GACGAACGCUGGCGGCGUGCUUAACACAUGCAAGUCGAACGGUAAGGCCCUGCUUUUGUGUGGUGCUCGAGUUGCGAACGGGUGAGUAACACGUGAGUAACCUGCCCUUGACUUUGGGAUAACUUCAGGAAACUGGGGCUAAUACCGGAUAGGAGCUCCUGCUGCAUGGUGGUGGCUGGAAAGUUUCGGCGGCUGGGGAUGGACUCGCGGCUGAUCAGCUUGUUGGUGGGGUAGUGGCUUACCAAGGCUUUGACGGGUAGCCGGCCUGAGAGGGUGACAGGCCACAUUGGGACUGAGAUACGGCCCAGACUCCUACGGGAGGCAGGAGUGGGGAACAGUGCACAAUAGGCGGAAGCCUGAUGCAGCAACGCCGCGUGCGGGAUGACGGUCUUCGGGGUGGAAACCGCGUUCGCCUGUGACGAAGAGUGAGUGACGGUAACGGGUAAAGAAGCACCGGCUAACUACGUG
This 468-nucleotide ribosomal RNA is filed under the name uncultured bacterium. Its description in RNAcentral is "partial 16S ribosomal RNA". It matches the Rfam family "Bacterial small subunit ribosomal RNA", at positions 28 to 507 of the family's 1533-position model. The record is from RNAcentral.